AAACUAACAAGGAUUCCCCUAGUAGCGGCGAGCGAAGCGGGAAGAGCUCAAAUUUAUAAUCUGGCACCUUCGGUGUCCGAGUUGUAAUCUCUAGAAAUGUUUUCCGCGUUGGACCGCACACAAGUCUGUUGGAAUACAGCGGCAUAGUGGUGAGACCCCCGUAUAUGGUGCGGACGCCCAGCGCUUUGUGAUACAUUUUCGAAGAGUCGAGUUGUUUGGGAAUGCAGCUCAAAUUGGGUGGUAAAUUCCAUCUAAAGCUAAAUAUUGGCGAGAGACCGAUAGCGAACAAGUACCGUGAGGGAAAGAUGAAAAGCACUUUGGAAAGAGAGUUAACAGUACGUGAAAUUGUUGGAAGGGAAACGCUUGAAGUCAGACUUGCUUGCCGAGCAAUCGGUUUGCAGGCCAGCAUCAGUUUUCCGGGAUGGAUAAUGGUAGAGAGAAGGUAGCAGUUUCGGCUGUGUUAUAGCUCUCUGCUGGAUACAUCUUGGGGGACUGAGGAACGCAGUGUGCCUUUGGCGGGGGUUUC
RNAcentral lists this ribosomal RNA (526 nucleotides) under Rhodotorula mucilaginosa. Its description in RNAcentral is "eukaryotic LSU rRNA". It matches the Rfam family "Eukaryotic large subunit ribosomal RNA", at positions 62 to 584 of the family's 3401-position model. Lineage: Eukaryota; Fungi; Basidiomycota; Microbotryomycetes; Sporidiobolales; Sporidiobolaceae. The record is from RNAcentral.